This 250-nucleotide ribosomal RNA is filed under the name uncultured bacterium. RNAcentral's name for it is "partial 16S ribosomal RNA". It matches the Rfam family "Bacterial small subunit ribosomal RNA", at positions 524 to 773 of the family's 1533-position model. The record is from RNAcentral.
GACGUAGGGGGCGAGCGUUGUCCGGAUUUACUGGGCGUAAAGCGUGCGUAGGCGGUUCGUUAAGUCUGUCGUGAAAGCCCUGGGCUCAACCUGGGAAUUGCGAUGGAUACUGGCGGGCUAGAGUACGGUAGAGGAUGGUGGAAUUCCCGGUGUAGCGGUGAAAUGCGUAGAGAUCGGGAGGAACACCCGUGGCGAAGGCGGCCAUCUGGACCAGUACUGACGCUGAGGCACGAAAGCGUGGGGAGCAAAC